UGCGUAGGCGGGCUAAUAAGUCAGUGGUGAAAUCUUACAGCUCAACUGUAAAAUUGCCAUUGAUACUGGAUGUCUUGAAUUAGUGUGAAGUGGUUAGAAUGUGUAGUGUAGCGGUGAAAUGCAUAGAUAUUACACAGAAUACCAAUUGCGAAGGCAGAUCACUAACACUAUAUUGACGCUGAGGGACGAAAGCGUGGGGAGCGAACAGGAUUAGAUACCCUGGUAGUCC
RNAcentral lists this ribosomal RNA (229 nucleotides) under uncultured bacterium. Its description in RNAcentral is "partial 16S ribosomal RNA". It matches the Rfam family "Bacterial small subunit ribosomal RNA", at positions 568 to 796 of the family's 1533-position model. The record is from RNAcentral.